UGCGGUCCUCGGUAGUGGCUUUCGCUCUUCAAUGCGAAGAGCGCGAGUCUCGAUCGAAGACCAAG
The sequence is a regulatory RNA element, 65 nucleotides long. It matches the Rfam family "Actino-pnp RNA". The record is from Rfam.